This 424-nucleotide ribosomal RNA is filed under the name uncultured bacterium. Its description in RNAcentral is "bacterial SSU rRNA". It matches the Rfam family "Bacterial small subunit ribosomal RNA", at positions 356 to 773 of the family's 1533-position model. The record is from RNAcentral.
AGGGAAUCUUCCGCAAUGGACGAAAGUCUGACGGAGCAACGCCGCGUGAGUGAUGAAGGUUUUCGGAUCGUAAAGCUCUGUUGCCAGGGAAGAACGUCUUGGAGAGUAACUGCUCUAAGAGUGACGGUACCUGAGAAGAAAGCCCCGGCUAACUACGUGCCAGCAGCCGCGGUAAUACGUAGGGGGCAAGCGUUGUCCGGAAUUAUUGGGCGUAAAGCGCGCGCAGGCGGCUGUUUAAGUCUGGUGUUUAAUCCUGGGGCUCAACCCCGGGUCGCACUGGAAACUGGGCAGCUUGAGUGCAGAAGAGGAGAGUGGAAUUCCACGUGUAGCGGUGAAAUGCGUAGAGAUGUGGAGGAACACCAGUGGCGAAGGCGACUCUCUGGGCUGCAACUGACGCUGAGGCGCGAAAGCGUGGGGAGCAAAC